RNAcentral lists this ribosomal RNA (482 nucleotides) under uncultured bacterium. RNAcentral describes it as "partial 16S ribosomal RNA". It matches the Rfam family "Bacterial small subunit ribosomal RNA", at positions 30 to 507 of the family's 1533-position model. The record is from RNAcentral.
AUUGAACGCUGGCGGCAUGCCUUACACAUGCAAGUCGAACGGUAACAGGUCUUCGGAUGCUGACGAGUGGCGAACGGGGGAGUAAUACAUCGGAACGUGCCCGAUCGUGGGGGAUAACGGAGCGAAAGCUUUGCUAAUACCGCAUACGAUCUACGGAUGAAAGCAGGGGAACGCAAGGCCUUGCGCGGACGGAGCGGCCGAUGGCAGAUUAGGUAGUUGGUGGGAUAAAAGCUUACCAAGCCGACGAUCUGUAGCUGGUCUGAGAGGACGACCAGCCACACUGGGACUGAGACACGGCCCAGACUCCUACGGGAGGCAGCAGUGGGGAAUUUUGGACAAUGGGCGAAAGCCUGAUCCAGCCAUGCCGCGUGCAGGAUGAAGGCCUUCGGGUUGUAAACUGCUUUUGUACGGAACGAAAAGACUCUUUCUAAUAAAGAGGGUCCAUGACGGUACCGUAAGAAUAAGCACCGGCUAACUACGUG